GCCGACGUGGCGGAAUUGGUAGACGCGUCGGAUUCAAAAUCCGAUGAUGGCAACAUUGUGCGAGUUCGAGUCUCGCCGUCGGUACCA
RNAcentral lists this transfer RNA (87 nucleotides) under Bdellovibrionales bacterium. Its description in RNAcentral is "tRNA-Leu". It matches the Rfam family "tRNA". Rfam says of the family: Transfer RNA (tRNA) molecules are approximately 80 nucleotides in length. Their secondary structure includes four short double-helical elements and three loops (D, anti-codon, and T loops). Further hydrogen bonds mediate the characteristic L-shaped molecular structure. tRNAs have two regions of fundamental functional importance: the anti-codon, which is responsible for specific mRNA codon recognition, and the 3' end, to which the tRNAs corresponding amino acid is attached (by aminoacyl-tRNA synthetases). tRNAs cope with the degeneracy of the genetic code in two manners: having more than one tRNA (with a specific anti-codon) for a particular amino acid; and 'wobble' base-pairing, i.e. permitting non-standard base-pairing at the 3rd anti-codon position. Lineage: Bacteria; Pseudomonadati; Bdellovibrionota; Bdellovibrionia; Bdellovibrionales. The record is from RNAcentral.